This is a long non-coding RNA of Telopea speciosissima, 227 nucleotides long. RefSeq lists it as uncharacterized. The transcript has 3 exons. NCBI's taxonomy places the organism in Eukaryota, Viridiplantae, Streptophyta, Magnoliopsida, Proteales, Proteaceae. The record is from RefSeq and is a predicted model, not a curated record.
AACCUGCCAUAUUGUGACAAGUUUCUACCAAGGGCUCAUAUUUCGCAAGUUCAACACUACUAAGGGGGAUUUGCUAAAAACUUCGUAGUUUUUUUCCAAAUCACUUGAUUUCUACCCAUCUUUUUUGCAUUCUUCUACUCAUUCAACCCUACUACAACUUGGAUUUGUGUGAUUGGAGCUUAAAGGUAAUGGUUUUUUCCCCCAAAUCUAGGGCUAGUGUACAAAUA